RNAcentral lists this unclassified non-coding RNA (412 nucleotides) under soil metagenome. Its description in RNAcentral is "partial contains 5.8S ribosomal RNA, internal transcribed spacer 2, and large subunit ribosomal RNA". The stretch from base 1 to 122 matches the Rfam family "5.8S ribosomal RNA", at positions 35 to 154 of the family's 154-position model. The record is from RNAcentral.
GAUGAAGAACGCAGCGUAAUGCGAUACUUGGUGUGAAUUGCAGAAUCCCGUGAACCAUCGAGUCUUUGAACGCAAGUUGCGCCCGAAGCCGUCAGGCCGAGGGCACGCCUGCCUGGGCGUCACACGCCGUUGCCCCCCCGCGCCCCGCACCCAACUCUUUGGGAGCGACCGCGGGGCGGGCUGAUGAUGGCCUCCCGUGCGCUCCGCCGCGCGGUUGGCCCAAAUACCGAGUCCCCGGCGACGUGCGCCACGACGAUCGGUGGUUGAGAGACCUCUGUCGCAAGUCGUGCGCGCCCGUCGCGUCACGCGGGCUCGCAUAGCGCCUCGCGCCGCACCCGGUGCGGAGCUUUCAACGCGACCCCAGGUCAGGCGGGGUUACCCGCUGAAUUUAAGCAUAUCAAUAAGCGGAGGA